GGGAGGAGCUAAAGGAGUGAGAAUCAGGCAGAUCAAGUACAUGCUUCUUGAGCACAAUUCAACUGAAAUACACAGAGAAGUAGCCAUCUGCUGCCUUAUCACAUACCUUGGAGAGAAGGAAGAGGACCUUUUCAUGGAGUUUGGUGACAAUUUAAGGCCAACCUUGAAAGGCAGGUGAUGAAAACUGCCAUCAUCGGUGACCGGU
Molecule: long non-coding RNA, 205 nt
Organism: Oreochromis aureus
Lineage: Eukaryota; Metazoa; Chordata; Actinopteri; Cichliformes; Cichlidae
Exons: 3
Source: RefSeq, a predicted model, not a curated record